CUUGCAGACUGGUUCCCUCUGCAGGCAAACACGUUGUGAUUAUCUCACGUUGCACAGGGAUAAUAAUUGUCACAGUGUUCGCAGGGAUCAUUCAAAAAUGCACAGCACAGAGACUCAUUAUUCAACUUCACUCUUCCAUACCUAUUAUGAUAUACAUCAUCGGAAUGAUGACUUUCAGGACGAUAUUUCAACAGCACAUGUCUUUCUCUUGAUGUAUUGGGUUUCAUACCAUCGCUUUUAAAGCAACACAGAAUUCCUGGAUGAAACCUCUGGGUGACAGGAGAUACAAGACAGUGAUGCCUCCCAUUCACUUUCCAUCUGUAAAACCUUUCCUGCAGAAACACAAGCCUUAUGUCUAUCCCACAAAGGAAGUCAGGGACCCCGGAGGGACCGGCUGAAGCCAUGGCAGAAAAACAUAAAUUGUGAAGAUUUCAUGGACAUUUAUUAGUUCCCCAAAUUAAUACUUUUAUAAUUUCUUACACCUGUCUUUACCGCAAUCUCUGAACAUAAAUUGUGAAGAUUUCAUGGACACGUAUCACUUCCCCAAUCAAUACCCUUGUGAUUUCCUAUGCCUGUCUUUACUUUAAUCUCUUAAUCCCAUCAUCUUCGUAAACUGAGGAGGAUGUAUGUCACCUCAGGACCCUGUGAUGAUUGUGUUAACUGCUCAAAUUAUUUGUAGAGCAUGUGUGUUUGACAAUAUGAAAUCUGGGCACCUUGAAAAAAGAAAAGGAUAACAGCAAUGUUCAGGGAACAAGAGAGAUAACCUUAAACUUUGACUGCUGGUGAGCCGGGUGGAAAAGAGCCAUAUUUCUCUUCUUUCAAAAGGAAAUGGGAGAAAUAUCACUGAAUUCUUUUUCUCAGCAAGGAACAUCCUUGAGAAAGAGAAUGCGGCCUUGAGGGUAGACCUCUGAAAUGGCCGCUUUGGGGGCAGCCGUCUUUUAUGGUUGUAGCUGUAGGGAUGAAAUAAGCCCCAGCCUCCUGUAGUGCUCCUGUGCUUAUUAGGAAGAGGAAAUUCCCACCUAAUAAAUUUUGGUCAGACUGGUUGUCCGCUCUCAAUCCCUGUCUCCUGAUAAGAAGUUAUCAAUGACAAUGCAUGCCCAAAGCUUCAUUAGCAAUUUUAAUUUCGCCCCAGCCCUGUGGUCCUGUGAUCUUGCCCUGCCUUCAUUUACCUUGUGAUAUCUUAUUACCUUGUGAAACAUGUCAUCCCUGUGACCCACAUCCUAUUUGUACACUCCCUCCCCUUUUGAAAAUCACUAAUAAAAACUUGCUGGUUUUGCAGCUUAGGGGGCAUCACGGAACCUGCCAACAUGUGAUGUCUCCCCUGGACACCUAGCUUUAAAAUUUCUCCUUUUGUACUCUGUCCCUUUAUUUCUCAGACCGGCCAAUACUUAGGGAAAAUAGAAAAGAACCUACAUGAAAUAUCGGGGGUGAAUUUCGCCCAAUAUCAACUGAGAGGUGAUCUCUCUUAUAGUAGCAUUUCCCCCAUCAUCAUCUAGGCUGGAGUUCCCUAACAUUUAUGUUAAUAGGAGCUAUUUUUAAUUUUCCCUAUGGUCUUAAGAUUUGAAAGGUAGAGGACUUCUUGAUUUAUGUCUGGAGAAAAAAACACAGAAAAUGAAAUCUGAGUAAAGAUAAAUUUAAGGCUUUAGUAUUUGAACACAUCAGGGCAAGGAAAGAUACCAUCAAUUUUUCUGUCAUCCUCUCUGGUCACUGAUGGAUUGACUAGUGCAAUUGGCUUGAAAUUAUGCCAAAUAAAAUUUUAAUGCCCACUGACCUGCUAUUUGGAGAUUCCAUAAGCUAAGUUUCUUUGUUAACUGUUUGUGUAGUAGCUUGACCCUUAGGCAGGUUGGGAACACCCAGCCCAGAAAACCUGUGUAAUGAGAAUUAGGAGCAAUGGAGAUAGAGUGUAAACUCUUAGCAACCAGAUAGUACUCAUUGCAAGCCACUUCUCCCAUCUUCACAAAUGAUUUUGAU
RNAcentral lists this long non-coding RNA (1971 nucleotides) under Homo sapiens (human). RNAcentral describes it as "HSALNT0251394". The record is from RNAcentral. Lineage: Eukaryota; Metazoa; Chordata; Mammalia; Primates; Hominidae.